ACUAUCGAUCAAAACCCUCCCCAAAUUCCAAUCUCGAUCAAACCCUAGCCGCCGUAAAGUAUAUCAGAAAAACUGCACUACCACUCAUUUGGCGACGUAAAUAAUACUUAAUCUUGACAUUACUCCGUCGUUUCGAUAUCUCUCCUCAGUUUACGGUUUAUUUGGCGACGAUGACGAAGCCAAUGUCAACCAUUUCUACCGAGGGGAAAAUCCGUUGAGGAUUAUAAAAGAUCGAACUGAGAAAAUGGCAAAAAGAGGACGAUCGUUCAAGAGCCAACCAACUGAAAUGCAGGUUCAAAGUUUGCAAGGAUAGAAUACGAUGACGACUUUGAUGAGGUCAUUCCCUUUCAUAUGCACAUCUGUUUCGACAAAAGUUGGCUGCACAUAAGGAAGCUGAUAAAGUGCUAGCCAAAGAUGUUGCAGCACCUAGUCGAAACAAGAAAGACAACAACAUGUACUUCAGGAGGUGUCCAACUGAUUUGAAAUAGAUUUGUAGGGUAUUUUGUCUAGAUUUAUGACGAUGUAAAGCA
This is a long non-coding RNA of Salvia splendens (bonfire salvia), 530 nucleotides long. RefSeq lists it as uncharacterized. The record is from RefSeq and is a predicted model, not a curated record. NCBI's taxonomy places the organism in Eukaryota, Viridiplantae, Streptophyta, Magnoliopsida, Lamiales, Lamiaceae. The transcript is spliced from 3 exons.